This is a long non-coding RNA of Daphnia pulex (common water flea), 2107 nucleotides long. RefSeq lists it as uncharacterized. Lineage: Eukaryota; Metazoa; Arthropoda; Branchiopoda; Diplostraca; Daphniidae. The record is from RefSeq and is a predicted model, not a curated record. The transcript is spliced from 2 exons.
UGGUUUGUUGAGAAAACCACUUUUCUCGCUUUCACAAUAACGUAUCGUCACUCUUGUUGCCAGGCGGUAAUCAAUUUCGAAUCAUUAACGGACGCUCCUACCGUGGAUAGAAAAGGCAUCUGGGUGCAGCUGCUAACAACCAACUCUAAAACUGACGGAACGACCUAAUAGUUCUUUGGAAAAUUUUAAAUAAACGUUUACUGAAGGCACAAUAGUAACUCGUAUUAAAUUUUGCUGUGUCACUAGAUAAACGGAGUAAACUGAGCACACAAAUCACUUUCCAACGUGUGCGCUUUUCUCGUAAAACCCUGACCGGCCACUACUAUUUGACAAGCUCAAUCCUAAGUAGGCUGACAAUUUUGAAAAAAAGGGCGGUCCUUGCGAAGGAUUAGAGAGCAACUGACCAUCAGUGUUCGUUGAUUUUAUCUUGACAUUAAGACAAUGACAAUUGAGACAUGAAAUCUCUUGAUGAGUGUAAUCUCAUAAAAAAAAUAAAAAUCAUGCAUUUGGUUCCUGCCCACCGAAGUUUAGACCCACCGUAUUCAUGAAAUAAUUAUUUUAUUACCUAAGUUCAUAGCAGGACAAGUAAUGAUAGAUCACGACAAAUUGCAACAGAUAGUCAUUAGAAGUCGCAAAUUUAUUUAGGCCUUUUUUUACUCAACGUAUAUACUACAGCAUUGACAACUACAAAACUUUUCACUUCGACAUAGCUUCGAGUGAAGAGAGUAAACCAGUAACAUGGAUCGUUAAUUGACAAAAUUGAAAUGCGCAUACUAUUUCAGCAUGCAGUUGACUAAAUCAAUACAGAAUUUACCAGUCGGUGUGUUUGUUCAAUUUGUGAGUAUAGAAACCGGUGUAUAAUGCAUAAAGUAGUGUUUCGAAAAUAUCAUACCUAAAAUCGUUUAAUAUUUGUGAACUACCAUUUCCGAAACACAGGAAAAUUGAAAGGCAAAAUAUUGGCAGUUUAAUUGAGUUACAAACUUACAAUAAUGUAAUACUAAAAAAUGUUUGAAUACAAAAAUGAUUUUAUAUUAUUUAAAGUGCGUAUAUAAAUUAUGUACCAUUUCUAACCAAUUAAAAUAUCGUAUAGCUAAUUGCUAAUAUCAACUAGUCUACUAGCCAAACAAAUUUCAAAUUCGAAAUAUUAUAUUUUACUCGCCAAUAAUUAAAACUAGGACAACUGACGAUUACUUCUAGCGACAGGUAAAUGGAUUUAAAAAGAUUAUCUUUGGGAGACUAAGUAUCACAAAAAAUGCGUUAAUUCGCAAAUCGGUAAAAUCAAUAAUUACGCUAAAAUUUAAAAUCAAUUUGCACGGCGUGAUUAGAGAAUAGUAGCAGAGGAAAGAGCUUCAAUCCACCUAAAAAAUAAAAUUCGAGUAAUUAAAGUUAUAUUCACUUUGUAAAUGCAUAAAAUAGGAUAUUACUUUUUGGUCAAAACAGCAUUUUCAGCCUGAAAGACAAUUGGCGAUUGCUUAGGAUGAAACAACUGAAACUCGUUCUGUUCAUUUUCCUCUACAACCUAAUUUCAUAUAAAAAAAAAUAAAAAAAAAUUCAAUAUAUUUUAAAACACUCAUCAUAUACAAAUGUAACCCAUGUAAAUGAUACCUCUUGAAAGGUUUGUACUUCAUAGCCGAGCACCGGAAUAGUAUCCAAUGCAACAACGUCUUCUGGUGCUUUGUAAAUAUAAAGUACUUUGUCUUUUAAAACAAACCAAUUCUUUUUCCAGGAUCGUCGGAUCCUGCGUGACAAAUAACCACUAAUUUGUGAUUCUGCAUCAUUAGCAGGGACCUAAAGUAAUUUUUUUUUUUGUUAAAACCAGAAGGAAAAAGGUAAAUUUUUAGAUAUUUACCUCCAUCAAACGUGGCGGGAUGUAGCGACGUUCUUUACGGAAGUCCCGUCUUACAUGUUGAGCUCGAAGUCCGGCUUGAGAAGUCGACUGACUCACUGGAUCCGAUGAAGGCCGUCUGCUUCCAACUUCAUCGUUGAAGGCGUGAACAAAGCAGACUGGAGGCACAUUGACUAGACUGGCACUUAGAUCCGUUUCAAUUAGACUGCUGCAAUUGCUCGAAUCCAUACCCUCCUCAAUUACGGAACCUUCUUGCCCUUU